RNAcentral lists this microRNA precursor (78 nucleotides) under Schistosoma bovis. Its description in RNAcentral is "mir-3492 microRNA precursor family". It matches the Rfam family "mir-3492 microRNA precursor family". The record is from Rfam by way of RNAcentral. RNAcentral also lists the same sequence under 1 other name. Lineage: Eukaryota; Metazoa; Platyhelminthes; Trematoda; Strigeidida; Schistosomatidae.
AGCCUACUGUAUCCGUGCUGAGAUUUCAACACACACCAGACCACAAGGGCUGAUGAGACUUCCAAGAUAAGUGAAGCG